This 94-nucleotide transfer RNA is filed under the name Pseudomonadota bacterium. RNAcentral's name for it is "Proteobacteria bacterium (groundwater metagenome) tRNA-Ser". It matches the Rfam family "tRNA". Rfam says of the family: Transfer RNA (tRNA) molecules are approximately 80 nucleotides in length. Their secondary structure includes four short double-helical elements and three loops (D, anti-codon, and T loops). Further hydrogen bonds mediate the characteristic L-shaped molecular structure. tRNAs have two regions of fundamental functional importance: the anti-codon, which is responsible for specific mRNA codon recognition, and the 3' end, to which the tRNAs corresponding amino acid is attached (by aminoacyl-tRNA synthetases). tRNAs cope with the degeneracy of the genetic code in two manners: having more than one tRNA (with a specific anti-codon) for a particular amino acid; and 'wobble' base-pairing, i.e. permitting non-standard base-pairing at the 3rd anti-codon position. The record is from RNAcentral. Lineage: Bacteria; Pseudomonadati; Pseudomonadota.
GGAGAGAUGACCGAGCUGGCCGAAGGUGCUCGCCUGCUAAGCGAGUGUAGGGUCAAAAGCCUUACCGAGGGUUCGAAUCCCUCUCUCUCCGCCA